AGGCUGUGUAAGUCCCAUGUCAGGAAGAUGUAACUAGGAAAUUAACUGCUCAAUUCUAUGCCAUUUAAUUGUCAGACUGCAGAAGCCUAAUCUAUACAACAAAACCACUUUAUUAAAGGACCACUCCACAUUUGAAGAAAGUUUAGUAGAUAUACCCCAAUGAACACAUGCAUAUAUAUUUUUAUGUAUGUAUUCAUUGGUCGUAUAGUGUAAAAUCGCUUGCAAAACCUGCAGUUUUUAUGACUGCAUCCUUUAUAAGCCCUCCCUUUUUUCACAGGAAGUGACUUUAAUUCACUUUAGAUAAUUGUCCAAUC
Molecule: non-coding RNA, 314 nt
Organism: Pelobates cultripes (western spadefoot toad)
Lineage: Eukaryota; Metazoa; Chordata; Amphibia; Anura; Pelobatidae
Source: the annotation of a GenBank genome assembly